RNAcentral lists this ribosomal RNA (253 nucleotides) under uncultured bacterium. RNAcentral describes it as "partial 16S ribosomal RNA". It matches the Rfam family "Bacterial small subunit ribosomal RNA", at positions 524 to 776 of the family's 1533-position model. The record is from RNAcentral.
UACGGGGGGGGCAAGCGUUGUUCGGAAUUACUGGGCGUAAAGGGCUCGUAGGCGGCCAACUAAGUCAGACGUGAAAUCCCUCGGCUUAACCGGGGAACUGCGUCUGAUACUGGAUGGCUAGAGGUUGGGAGAGGGAUGCGGAAUUCCAGGUGUAGCGGUGAAAUGCGUAGAUAUCUGGAGGAAUACCGGUGGCGAAGGCGGCAUCCUGGACCGAGAUUGACGCUGAGGAGCGAAAGCUAGGGGAGCAAACGGG